GACCCUGUGGUCUAGUGGUUAUGAUGUCGCCUUGACGUGGCGAAGAUCGCCGGUCCAACUCCGGCCAGGGUCA
Molecule: transfer RNA, 73 nt
Filed under: Candidatus Diapherotrites archaeon CG08_land_8_20_14_0_20_30_16
Lineage: Archaea; Nanobdellati; Candidatus Iainarchaeota
Description: tRNA-Val
Rfam family: tRNA
About the family: Transfer RNA (tRNA) molecules are approximately 80 nucleotides in length. Their secondary structure includes four short double-helical elements and three loops (D, anti-codon, and T loops). Further hydrogen bonds mediate the characteristic L-shaped molecular structure. tRNAs have two regions of fundamental functional importance: the anti-codon, which is responsible for specific mRNA codon recognition, and the 3' end, to which the tRNAs corresponding amino acid is attached (by aminoacyl-tRNA synthetases). tRNAs cope with the degeneracy of the genetic code in two manners: having more than one tRNA (with a specific anti-codon) for a particular amino acid; and 'wobble' base-pairing, i.e. permitting non-standard base-pairing at the 3rd anti-codon position.
Source: RNAcentral